RNAcentral lists this long non-coding RNA (391 nucleotides) under Phasianus colchicus (ring-necked pheasant). Its description in RNAcentral is "lncRNA (ENSPCLG00000003748.1)". Lineage: Eukaryota; Metazoa; Chordata; Aves; Galliformes; Phasianidae. The record is from RNAcentral.
UGUAAAAUAAGUAUUUAACACAUCUGUCAAUUUUCUAAAUGUUUUUCUUUUUAGCAACCCAACUAUAGAUGGCAUGAAAAUCUUAACCUGAAUCUUCCUGAAUUUGAUAGAAAGGCGGAUCAUCGCAUAAGUUGUUUCCACUGAAAAUAAACUGAUGCUUUUCCACCAAGACAUCUUAUCUUGUACAGUGAAGACACAUGGAAAAGGGGUGUGAAGAAGCAUGCAAAACGUAAUGAAAUUAAAGAACUAUGUGAUACCUAAGUGAAAAUGAAGACAGUAUUUGGAAGAAGUAAUCUUAGAGACAGAUUCCACCUCCUGAUGUAUUGAUACGAUUACCCGCUGUUAUGUGAGUCAUCCAUUUGCCUCUGAAGGGAUUUUGCUUCUACCAAAC